Molecule: ribosomal RNA, 260 nt
Filed under: uncultured bacterium
Lineage: Bacteria
Description: partial 16S ribosomal RNA
Rfam family: Bacterial small subunit ribosomal RNA
Source: RNAcentral
GUCCGCACAGUAAAACGAUGAAUACUAACUGUUUGCGAUACACAGCAAGUGGUACAGUGAAAACGUUAAGUAUUCCACCUGGGGAGUACGCCGGCAACGGUGAAACUCAAAGGAAUUGACGGGGGCCCGCACAAGCGGAGGAACAUGUGGUUUAAUUCGAUGAUACGCGAGGAACCUUACCCGGGCUUGAAUUGCAUUUGAAUAUAUGGGAAACUGUAUAGCCAGCAAUGGCAAAUGUGAAGGUGCUACAUGGUUGUCGU